UUGCGACCCUCGCAAGAUUUCCAUAGUGAGGCAAAAGACGGCGCUGAUUCGGCGAAGGGCGGAGUUGAUUCGGAGAUUGGAGGAUGCGGACCGAGGCAGCGAUGCUGAGGAAAUGGAGCAAGCUUGCGCGCACAUGGUGGCAGUGG
This 146-nucleotide non-coding RNA is filed under the name Azadinium spinosum. Lineage: Eukaryota; Dinophyceae; Gonyaulacales; Amphidomataceae. The record is from RNAcentral.